Long non-coding RNA from Gymnogyps californianus (California condor), 317 nucleotides. RefSeq lists it as uncharacterized. The transcript is spliced from 3 exons. The record is from RefSeq and is a predicted model, not a curated record. Lineage: Eukaryota; Metazoa; Chordata; Aves; Accipitriformes; Cathartidae.
ACCUGCUUGCGACCGAGGCCCUCGUCCAUGACUCAGAUGCCAGCAAGGCCCUCGUUGCCCGCGCCCGCGCCACGGGGCAGAGCGAUGCCGGCGCCCGAAAGAACCCCCCGACCCCACCGCAGAAGCUGGAGGAGGUGCUGGUGGUGGUCGGCGGCCGCGUGCUGGAGGAGGGCGAGGAUGAGGACAGGGGGCUGGAGAUGCCGGCUGCCCCCAGGAACUUCGCCUUCUACAACCCCAAAAGCAGGCGAUGGAUGGCUCUGCCCUGCUUCCCUGAUUACAACAAACGGGGCUUUUCCCUGGUGGCUCUGAACAACGAU